This 396-nucleotide ribosomal RNA is filed under the name uncultured bacterium. Its description in RNAcentral is "partial 16S ribosomal RNA". It matches the Rfam family "Bacterial small subunit ribosomal RNA", at positions 523 to 918 of the family's 1533-position model. The record is from RNAcentral.
AUACAGAGGGUGCAAGCGUUAAUCGGAUUUACUGGGCGUAAAGCGCGCGUAGGUGGCUAAUUAAGUCAAAUGUGAAAUCCCCGAGCUUAACUUGGGAAUUGCAUUCGAUACUGGUUAGCUAGAGUAUGGGAGAGGAUGGUAGAAUUCCAGGUGUAGCGGUGAAAUGCGUAGAGAUCUGGAGGAAUACCGAUGGCGAAGGCAGCCAUCUGGCCUAAUACUGACACUGAGGUGCGAAAGCAUGGGGAGCAAACAGGAUUAGAUACCCUGGUAGUCCAUGCCGUAAACGAUGUCUACUAGCCGUUGGGGCCCUUGAGGCUUUAGUGGCGCAGCUAACGCGAUAAGUAGACCGCCUGGGGAGUACGGCCGCAAGGUUGAAACUCAAAUGAAUUGACGGGG